UGGGAUGCCUGCCACAGCAUGGCUUGCCAAGUGGUGCCUUGUCUGGACCCGGGAUCCGAACAGGUGACCACCACCUCGAAGGUGACGUGCAUCAUUUGUGGAGACCCUUUGUACACCUGAAAACCCCCUCACAUGCACCAAAGGUUUAAAUAUUUUCCUGUGUCUUUUAGAAGAAAAAAAGACAGCAAUAAUGAAUUGUCUGUGGACAGUUGUUCUCAAGUAAGCCUUCCCGGGAUCUGCAAGCAUCUUUCCAAGAGAGACCAGGUUCACAUCGUUGCAACAGUGAGGCUCGCAAAGUUCCCGUGAGAAGCUGUUCACAAACUGUGCCACCUUCUGACUGAUGUUGCUAAUAAAGAACAGAGAAGAAUCUGCCCGUCAAACUUGCCUCAAAGGAGGUCGUCGAGUUGCGAUUGGAUAUAUUAUAUAUUAUACAAUAAUUUAUUUUGACCCUAGGAGAGGUUCAUUUGAAAAAGGCCAUAAUACCUCUUUCUGCCCACUUUGGAGCAGAUUUUAGCUGGGGUCAAAGCUCUAACGUCUGCCUCUAUGAAAGGUUGCAGGCAGGGGGCCUGGGGCGUUCCUAUCUGCUCGGGCACAUGAAAAAUGAAGACAUUUCCUGAGGAGGCUGAUGGAACCAAUGUGCUCAUGUCUGAACGUUUUUGCAGAAAGAAUUAAAGGACAGUAAAAAAAACUUCUGAAUA
Equus quagga is the source of this 698-nucleotide long non-coding RNA. RefSeq lists it as uncharacterized. The transcript has 2 exons. Lineage: Eukaryota; Metazoa; Chordata; Mammalia; Perissodactyla; Equidae. The record is from RefSeq and is a predicted model, not a curated record.